This 2775-nucleotide ribosomal RNA is filed under the name Salmonella enterica subsp. enterica serovar Urbana. RNAcentral's name for it is "bacterial LSU rRNA". It matches the Rfam family "Bacterial large subunit ribosomal RNA". Lineage: Bacteria; Pseudomonadati; Pseudomonadota; Gammaproteobacteria; Enterobacterales; Enterobacteriaceae. The record is from RNAcentral.
AGCGUACACGGUGGAUGCCCUGGCAGUCAGAGGCGAUGAAGGACGUGCUAAUCUGCGAUAAGCGCCGGUAAGGUGAUAUGAACCGUUAUAACCGGCGAUUUCCGAAUGGGGAAACCCAGUGUGACUCGUCACACUAUCAUUAACUGAAUCCAUAGGUUAAUGAGGCGAACCGGGGGAACUGAAACAUCUAAGUACCCCGAGGAAAAGAAAUCAACCGAGAUUCCCCCAGUAGCGGCGAGCGAACGGGGAGGAGCCCAGAGCCUGAAUCAGCAUGUGUGUUAGUGGAAGCGUCUGGAAAGGCGCGCGAUACAGGGUGACAGCCCCGUACACAAAAGCGCAUGUGCUGUGAGCUCGAUGAGUAGGGCGGGACACGUGGUAUCCUGUCUGAAUAUGGGGGGACCAUCCUCCAAGGCUAAAUACUCCUGACUGACCGAUAGUGAACCAGUACCGUGAGGGAAAGGCGAAAAGAACCCCGGCGAGGGGAGUGAAAAAGAACCUGAAACCGUGUACGUACAAGCAGUGGGAGCACCCUUUGGGGUGUGACUGCGUACCUUUUGUAUAAUGGGUCAGCGACUUAUAUUCUGUAGCAAGGUUAACCGAAUAGGGGAGCCGGAGGGAAACCGAGUCUUAAUUGGGCGUUAAGUUGCAGGGUAUAGACCCGAAACCCGGUGAUCUAGCCAUGGGCAGGUUGAAGGUUGGGUAACACUAACUGGAGGACCGAACCGACUAAUGUUGAAAAAUUAGCGGAUGACCUGUGGCUGGGGGUGAAAGGCCAAUCAAACCGGGAGAUAGCUGGUUCUCCCCGAAAGCUAUUUAGGUAGCGCCUCGUGAAUUCAUCUCCGGGGGUAGAGCACUGUUUCGGCUAGGGGGCCAUCCCGGCUUACCAACCCGAUGCAAACUGCGAAUACCGGAGAAUGUUAUCACGGGAGACACACGGCGGGUGCUAACGUCCGUCGUGAAGAGGGAAACAACCCAGACCGCCAGCUAAGGUCCCAAAGUCAUGGUUAAGUGGGAAACGAUGUGGGAAGGCCCAGACAGCCAGGAUGUUGGCUUAGAAGCAGCCAUCAUUUAAAGAAAGCGUAAUAGCUCACUGGUCGAGUCGGCCUGCGCGGAAGAUGUAACGGGGCUAAACCAUGCACCGAAGCUGCGGCAGCGACGCUGAUGCGUUGUUGGGUAGGGGAGCGUUCUGUAAGCCUGCGAAGGUGUGUCGUGAGGCAUGCUGGAGGUAUCAGAAGUGCGAAUGCUGACAUAAGUAACGAUAAAGCGGGUGAAAAGCCCGCUCGCCGGAAGACCAAGGGUUCCUGUCCAACGUUAAUCGGGGCAGGGUGAGUCGACCCCUAAGGCGAGGCCGAAAGGCGUAGUCGAUGGGAAACGGGUUAAUAUUCCCGUACUUGGUGUUACUGCGAAGGGGGGACGGAGAAGGCUAUGUUGGCCGGGCGACGGUUGUCCCGGUUUAAGCGUGUAGGUGUGUGUUCCAGGUAAAUCCGGUUCACUUUAACACUGAGGCGUGAUGACGAGGCACUACGGUGCUGAAGCAACAAAUGCCCUGCUUCCAGGAAAAGCCUCUAAGCAUCAGGUAACAUCAAAUCGUACCCCAAACCGACACAGGUGGUCAGGUAGAGAAUACCAAGGCGCUUGAGAGAACUCGGGUGAAGGAACUAGGCAAAAUGGUGCCGUAACUUCGGGAGAAGGCACGCUGACACGUAGGUGAAGUGAUUUACUCAUGGAGCUGAAGUCAGUCGAAGAUACCAGCUGGCUGCAACUGUUUAUUAAAAACACAGCACUGUGCAAACACGAAAGUGGACGUAUACGGUGUGACGCCUGCCCGGUGCCGGAAGGUUAAUUGAUGGGGUCAGCGCAAGCGAAGCUCCUGAUCGAAGCCCCGGUAAACGGCGGCCGUAACUAUAACGGUCCUAAGGUAGCGAAAUUCCUUGUCGGGUAAGUUCCGACCUGCACGAAUGGCGUAAUGAUGGCCAGGCUGUCUCCACCCGAGACUCAGUGAAAUUGAACUCGCUGUGAAGAUGCAGUGUACCCGCGGCAAGACGGAAAGACCCCGUGAACCUUUACUAUAGCUUGACACUGAACAUUGAGCCUUGAUGUGUAGGAUAGGUGGGAGGCUUUGAAGUGUGGACGCCAGUCUGCAUGGAGCCGGCCUUGAAAUACCACCCUUUAAUGUUUGAUGUUCUAACGUGGACCCGUGAUCCGGGUUGCGGACAGUGUCUGGUGGGUAGUUUGACUGGGGCGGUCUCCUCCUAAAGAGUAACGGAGGAGCACGAAGGUUGGCUAAUCCUGGUCGGACAUCAGGAGGUUAGUGCAAUGGCAUAAGCCAGCUUGACUGCGAGCGUGACGGCGCGAGCAGGUGCGAAAGCAGGUCAUAGUGAUCCGGUGGUUCUGAAUGGAAGGGCCAUCGCUCAACGGAUAAAAGGUACUCCGGGGAUAACAGGCUGAUACCGCCCAAGAGUUCAUAUCGACGGCGGUGUUUGGCACCUCGAUGUCGGCUCAUCACAUCCUGGGGCUGAAGUAGGUCCCAAGGGUAUGGCUGUUCGCCAUUUAAAGUGGUACGCGAGCUGGGUUUAGAACGUCGUGAGACAGUUCGGUCCCUAUCUGCCGUGGGCGCUGGAGAACUGAGGGGGGCUGCUCCUAGUACGAGAGGACCGGAGUGGACGCAUCACUGGUGUUCGGGUUGUCAUGCCAAUGGCACUGCCCGGUAGCUAAAUGCGGAAGAGAUAAGUGCUGAAAGCAUCUAAGCACGAAACUUGCCCCGAGAUGAGUUCU